UACGUAGGGGGCUAGCGUUGUCCGGAAUCAUUGGGCGUAAAGCGCGUGUAGGCGGCCCGGUAAGUCCGCUGUGAAAGUCGGGGGCUCAACCCUCGGAUGCCGGUGGAUACUGUCGGGCUAGAGUACGGAAGAGGCGAGUGGAAUUCCUGGUGUAGCGGUGAAAUGCGCGGAUAUCAGGAGGAACACCAAUUGCGAAGGCAGCUCGCUGGGACGUUACUGACGCUGAGACGCGAAAGCGUGGGGAGCAAACAGG
RNAcentral lists this ribosomal RNA (253 nucleotides) under uncultured bacterium. RNAcentral's name for it is "partial 16S ribosomal RNA". It matches the Rfam family "Bacterial small subunit ribosomal RNA", at positions 524 to 776 of the family's 1533-position model. The record is from RNAcentral.